UUUUUCAGUGGAUUAUAUGGAAACCCUCUAAUUUGCAAUUGUCCAUUAGUCGACAUUGUUCUCUUGGUGAAAAGAAGAGGAUUACAGUGGAUUUCCCGUCCUUCCUGUCACAGCCCUGUGACUCUAAGAAAAACAUUGCUGAAGGACCUGAAACUUCAAGAAGUAAUUUGUGAUUCAGAUUCCACCACCGGUUCUAUCCGCGUGGAAACAAGAGUUCCUGGUACGUAUUUUGGAUCAAUUUAAUCAAAGGUUGUGUGAUUACUGGUGGUACAUGUAGCUUAAAACCUAGGACAGUUAGCCUUUGUUCUAAUUGUUCCUUCGUCAAGUUUUCUAUAUUAAAAGAGAAAAAAGUUUUUCCACUGAUGCAGAAACUGUCUUUUCGACAAUAACCGGAUUUGGCAAGUAUUCAACAUGUACCAAACAUUUUGAACAUUGUAUAUAACACUGAUUUGUAAAGUAGCAAUUUACAGUAUACGUCAAUGACACUUGAUGCAUGAAAUUAUCAGCAAUGAAUGUCAUUGUAUCUCUUGCCGCUAACAUCAUUGAAAACAUCGAUUUGAAAUGGCUUUAAAGCUUGAAGAAUUCCAAUCCACGAGGUAAACUCUUUGUGUAGAAAUUGGAUUAUUGUCCAAUAUCUAAACUGCCCUCGGCAUCGGAAGUAAGUUUGUUAUUUUAUGUAGUUAUUUACAAAUAGUAUGACAUAUCCUAUAAAUGCAUAUACAUGCGCAUAUAUAUAUAUAUAUAUAUAUAUAUAUAUAUAUAUAUAUAUAUAUAUGUGUGUGUGUGUGUGUGUGUGUGUGUGUGUGUGUGUGUGUGUGUGCAGAUACAUCUCUAAUGUUAACAAUUUGUCCCACAUACCAUUGUGUACCGUGAGUAGGAUCUAAUUUGAUGCGAUUUCGAAUGACUUUUAAACAUUACAGACAUCUGACAUCUGUCUACAUACUCAGAUCUGUCUUGUUUGAUAUGCCGCUGAUUAAGGUGUUGUCAUUAGAACGUGGAAACAGUCAUCAUUCUCAUACAGCUGACAAUACGAGUCAACUGAAUCUUUGCGUGAUCCUGAUUAAUUGUAAAGUUGUGAUUUUUACCUGGGGUCAACUUGUACAACAAUUUAGUGUUAGUUAUUGUCUCAAAAGUAGCAUAUCGUCAUGUGAUUAGGAAAAAUGAUGAUACCUUUAUACAUUUCAAAUAAAUUUCCGCAAUGUAAUAUAUAUUAUAAAACAGCAAGAACUUUUUUCAUUCAUGUAUUGAAAUCCAUCAAACGGACACACUGUAUAAAAUGAAAAGUGAUCAAUUAGAACAGCUCACAAAUCAAUAAAACCAUGGAAGAUUCACCAAUGCACUGCUACCUAGAGACCGUAGUAGACAUGCAUCCCUGUCUUCAGCGCUGAUGGGCCUUUAUAUCCAUAUAUUCAACUCUGGUGUGUAUUUAUAUUCCAUUUGUCAAUUCUGGUGAGUAAAACUAUUUUCUCUCUCUAUGGAAUAGGCUGCUAUAAAGCAAAACAUCCUUUACGUAACUAUGUAAAAAGUUACACGUUUACUUGUUAUGUACAAGUUCACCUUUUGUUUGGUGUCUAUAAGGUAUGUGUUUAUGAUGGCGUAUUUUGUACGUCUGGAGAGAUGAGGGAUCGAAUAAAAAAUCACAUUAUUUUCAUGUUUAUUACACUUAUUACAAUGACGACAAUAAUCACAAACAUGUAAUACGGUAAGUUUUAAAUAUUAUUUUAUUAUUUAUUUCUAUUAUCGUAUUUGAACAUUUCAGGACAUCAGAAAAGAAGAAGAUGUGACUGUUGGGUAAACAAUGGCGUGGUCUGCUGUGGGUUUUUUCUUUGGAUCGGUGCCAGAUACUGACGGGCGGAUUAAAAUCCAGACACACAGAUGGGAUUCGAGCAUUCUACAUUCGGCACAUAAUUCAGAAGCUCUAUCCACUACGCCGCUGGCGUUGAUGACAUCUGUUGAACAUAACCUGUUUGGAAGAUAUGAAAUCACUUCAAAUUCUGCUGGUUACACCAUCCCCAAAUAUAUUUCAAGGACAAUAUGUUGAGAAGGGUGUAUAAAUGAUGAAUACUGGAUAGCACGAGAUAAGCAUUACAUCAACAGUAAGAGAAGGAGCAAUAUCGCCAUUUGAUGAUUUGCGCCCUGCCCACUGGACAUACCACGACUACCACUCCAGUUCACUCGGCUGUACAUUGAAUUAGUAUUGGCUUCGGUUGGAGGGCGAGCUUAGACUGUGAUGGACUGGUGUCUCACUCUGUUACUCUUAUCCGUUAACCACUUAUCAUUCCGAGGAAUGACAAUGAUGAUCAGAAUUCAUCAGUACCUCCGCAACUAGUAGGAUUCAGAAGUAUUCAUAGUAGAGUUUUUCACCCCAAGCUCAAAUGAUGUAGUUGAUGCAGAACCCGCAUUCCCUAUGGUGAACUGAAACUGAAAAGUGCCACAGGAUGACAAAACUUUCUCAUGAUGGAGACGUCACCAAUGCCGGUGAAGGACUUCAAAAUUUAGGCCUAUGAUUGGAGGUUACAACCUUUGAGCAGGGGGUCUUUAUUCUGUCACACCUGCUGUGACACAGGGCCUCGGGUUAUGUUGUCUUAUCCGAAGAACCGCCCCGUUUAGUCGCCUCUUACGACAAGCAGGGAUACUGAGGACCUAUUCUAACCCGGAUCACGGAGGUGUAUCGUCCAUAAUCGGCUCCACAAAAAUUUAAUUCCACAGGAAACCAACCAACAGGACGGACACAUAAUUGUGUGCACUCGAUUUAAGAUGUAGAUAUUAAACUUAAUUGCUAUCAAUAUGUUGAGGAGUGUAUACAUGUGAUAACUAUAUGACGAUACACGAUAUACUGGCUGUCAUCGUAAAUAAAAGAUAAAAUGCUUGUUCUAAUAAUAUGUGGUCAACUUGCGAGAAAAUUACGUUUUGUUUGAAUAAAAUAUUUUAUUUAGGCAUGGCGGAGUCGAAAUUAUUGGUUGAAUCUUUGUUUCCUCAUGGACUUAACCAUCAUGCAUGUUUUAUUUGUGAUUUUUUCAUUUAUCCAAUGUUUUGAAAAGAUGAAACUCGAAGUAGUAAGCCACGGCUAAUAGAAAUUUUCAACGCCUGUUUAGAGUUUGGAUUUUUAAUCACCACUGAGAUAUGACUGAAUUAUAUGCAACGCGACGGAAAACACCAAAGCUUCAGUUAACUAACUACAAGAGACGAUCUAAUGUACUGCAUAAACAAUAUACACAAUUAAAACUGUAUUUAAAUCUAGAUCCGUACAUUCUUGAAAUCACAUAUUAUCAAACCUAGGUAUAUGACUGUUUUACAUGCGGGGAGCAUUAUGCAGAUUUACAUUUCUCAAAUUUGAAGCUUUGAAAGCUGAAAAUAACGAACAGUGACCAAUCUCAUAAAUCCCACAAGCAAUACAAAUUAGAUAGUUGGGCAAACAUGGAACCCUGGACACACCAGAGUGUGGAUCAUGGAUGAACCGUCUAAAUAUUCGUCAUGAUAAACAUUCAUUGCUUAGAAAAAAUAUAAUAUUCAUAUUUUUUAAAUUUUUGGUUACAUUGCUAAAUAGCGCAUUUGACCUGAUGGGUAUAUCUAAUUUUCUACCAUGUCUUUAUAUGAGCAUUAUAUAUAGCCCUGGUUAUAUAUAUCAUAUUGUUACAUUGUUGGAAUAUCACAGAACAAUGUUUACACGUUUUGCAGGAUUAAACAUGAGUCUUUUAAAAAUAUAAUCCAAACUGUAAUAAAAUUUUAGAUACAU
Long non-coding RNA from Ostrea edulis (European flat oyster), 3736 nucleotides. RefSeq lists it as uncharacterized. The transcript is spliced from 8 exons. Lineage: Eukaryota; Metazoa; Mollusca; Bivalvia; Ostreida; Ostreidae. The record is from RefSeq and is a predicted model, not a curated record.